AAUAACGUUAUAAAUAUGCAAAUUAAUUUUUUUAAGUAAAAUAUUUGCAUCUCCUUUCCUCCUCCAGGCUUUUGAACUUCUGAGGUCAACAAGGACAAACAAUACCACUAGUGUCUCUUUGCAAAAAGCUGGGUUUGCUGUCUGCAAGCAAUGGUGUGGAGGCAUUACGUAAUCUCUCUCCGCCUUUCACCUGCCAUCUUCUCACCACAACACAACUGGCGAUGCCGUCCAGUGCAAGUUUCCUGCUUGGAACACCAGCAUUCGGAGCAGCUCUACGUUAAUGAUCCAGAUGUACACCUGGAGCUUUUGGUAUUCAUCCCUAUCUCUUCUUCACAAAAUCCUUCCUGGCCCAACAGAAAACUAAGAAGACAUUUCCCAGUCUCCUCUCCCAGCACCAAGGCUGUCAUUAAAUUGUUUGGUUUUGUUUG
Non-coding RNA from Meleagris gallopavo (turkey), 428 nucleotides. Lineage: Eukaryota; Metazoa; Chordata; Aves; Galliformes; Phasianidae. The record is from RefSeq and is a predicted model, not a curated record.